UAAGGACAAUACAUGACAAGCCACUAACAGGCGACUUCAGCAAUAUCAACAACCAUCCCCAGAGCUUUAGAAUUUAGGUCAACAAGAAGCCAAUCUGGACCCACAAGACUGAUGGAGGGAAAAUACACCAAAGAAAGAGGAAGUCUUCAGCAGAAAAUUGCCACAAACGUUUAAAUGAUCUGACCUGUCUUGUUUAGAUCUUGUUUGGAACCAGUCACUGUAUUUCUCCUUAGCUUGGA
Fukomys damarensis (Damara mole-rat) is the source of this 239-nucleotide long non-coding RNA. RefSeq lists it as uncharacterized. The record is from RefSeq and is a predicted model, not a curated record. The transcript has 3 exons. Lineage: Eukaryota; Metazoa; Chordata; Mammalia; Rodentia; Bathyergidae.